UGUUUUUUUUUCAUUUCUAUACGUAUACGUUACGCCGGGGGAUUAAAGUUUCAAAACUUCGUUAGUUAACUUGGCCAAACUAUCGUCAUCCAGUUUUUGAUGAUAGUUGCGUCCGAAGUCAAGUGUCCGUGUCCGUGUGUGAACCUUCCGAUUCGUUUCCGCGGAUUUCAUGAGUAAAAGAUGUUGCUCUCGGUAUUUCUGUUCCAAGUGAGCCGGAUCCUUCCGAAAAAAGGGAAGUUCCUCUACCCGCUAGUGCCACCUCGAGUACCACAAAUUAAACGAUUGUGUAAAUUAAAACUUAAGAGAUGAUUCAAAUUCUGCGUAUCAUGUACACCGGAUCAAUUGGUAGCUAGACCACAACCGAAGAUGGGAAUGAGUGCUAAAAUCUAUGAAGUGUGUAUUGGAAAUAUUGAAAGUAUCGAAUGCUCCUGGAAUGUGUAGUUAAAUUUUAUUCAUAAUAAUUAUUUAUGAAGUCAUAAAAGUGCUGAAUCAUCUGAGUGCACAAAAAUAAUCGUAACGACGCAACGAUCAUCAAACGGCAACAUUUACUCUCAGAAAUUAGAACCUUCCGAUCGCGGCAUGGUCGCACUCCUGCUUCGUUUUCUCGGAUCGCUCACUGUCAAUGUCUGCCAACAGAUGACCAUUUAGCGCAUUGAGGAUGCAGCAACGUUGGAAUCCUGAGUUAUGACAAUUCCGCUGAUAAAGUAUGAAUGGACGCUGCUGGAUAAUCAACGAUUGUUGACUAAGGAUCUUGUGCAGGAGGAACUGGACAAGUUAUGUCCGAUUCGAAGCGGUUCCAUGGGUCGAGCCAUGGGUAGCAGCCCGAUUGUGUAGUCAGUAACAUCGCAGUGCAUCUAGUAGCAGUAACAGCAAGGAAAGUUCCUGUGCACGACAAUUCAAUGGUCGAUUAUGUUGUGCAACAAGCUCUCUAGUACAACUGAAUGCCUAUCUGAUGCGAAUAAUGGGCUUGAUUCGGAGUUUGCAACAGGAACGAUCAAACGAAAACUACCAAUGGAACCAAAUUUACUCACGACGAGACAAUUACAGGAAGUUGUAUAGGAGAUCGAGAUACUACGCGGUUGAAUAAUUCCUCACCAACGUCCCCAUAACGAAAAGGCACCCUUACAAGACGUCAUAGUCAAAGACGAAGUCAAGAAAACAUCAAUAGCGGGACUCUUAAAUGACGACGACUAAUGUAUAUCCGCGUUUCGGCCAUUCAACAAGAGCUGCAUUAUAGUAAUAUAAUAGUUUUAACAUUCUUCA
Molecule: long non-coding RNA, 1263 nt
Organism: Armigeres subalbatus
Lineage: Eukaryota; Metazoa; Arthropoda; Insecta; Diptera; Culicidae
Exons: 2
Source: RefSeq, a predicted model, not a curated record